This 48-nucleotide non-coding RNA is filed under the name Schistosoma mattheei. Lineage: Eukaryota; Metazoa; Platyhelminthes; Trematoda; Strigeidida; Schistosomatidae. The record is from RNAcentral.
AUCUAGCUGACGAGUCCCAGACAGGACGAAAGGUUCAUCAAACUGGAU